GAUGAAGAACGUAGCGAAAUGCGAUAAGUAGUGUGAAUUGCAGAAUUCAGUGAAUCAUCGAAUCUUUGAACGCACAUUGCGCCCGCCAGUAUUCUGGCGGGCAUGCCUGUUCGAGCGUCAUUUCAACCAUCAAGCCCCCGGCUUGUGUUGGGGACCUGCGGCUGCCGCAGGCCCUGAAAACCAGUGGCGGGCUCGCUAGUCACUCCGAGCGUAGUAAUACAUCUCGCUCAGGGCGUGCUGCGGGUUCCGGCCGUUAAAAGCCUUAUUUACCCAAGGUUGACCUCGGAUCAGGUAGGAAGACCCGCUGAACUUAAGCAUAUCAUAAGCGGAGA
This 332-nucleotide unclassified non-coding RNA is filed under the name soil metagenome. RNAcentral's name for it is "partial contains 5.8S ribosomal RNA, internal transcribed spacer 2, and large subunit ribosomal RNA". The stretch from base 1 to 120 matches the Rfam family "5.8S ribosomal RNA", at positions 35 to 154 of the family's 154-position model. The record is from RNAcentral.